This 253-nucleotide ribosomal RNA is filed under the name uncultured bacterium. Its description in RNAcentral is "partial 16S ribosomal RNA". It matches the Rfam family "Bacterial small subunit ribosomal RNA", at positions 524 to 776 of the family's 1533-position model. The record is from RNAcentral.
UACGGAGGGUGCUAGCGUUGUUCGGAAUUACUGGGCGUAAAGGGCGCGUAGGCGGCCGUUUGCGUCGGAUGUGAAAGCCCGGGGCUCAACCUCGGAGCGGCAUUCGAUACGGGACGGCUGGAGACCGGGAGAGGAGAGUGGAAUAGCCAGUGUAGAGGUGAAAUUCGUAGAUAUUGGCUGGAACACCGGUGGCGAAAGCGGCUCUCUGGCCCGGUUCUGACGCUGAGGCGCGAAAGCGUGGGGAGCAAACAGG